UUUUUUAUUAACUAUGAUUGAUUAUUGAACCAUUGUUUGAUUCUGCGAAGCUCUGUGAACUGUGAAGUCACUGAAGUGUGAACUGAUUUACUGAUUUACUGAAGUGUGAAGCUCUGUGAAUAAUUUUUUUAUUAACUAUGAUUGAACCAUUGUUUGAUUCUGCGAAGCUCUGUGAACUGUGAAGUCACUGAAGUAUGAACUGAUUUACUGAAGUGUGGCUCUGUGAAUAAUUUGAUUUAUUAACUAUGAUUGAGUAAUUGUUUGAUUCUUCUAGCUUCUAGUUCUAGGUAAUUUUUUUUGUUAACUAUGUGAUUUACUGAUUUUUUAUUGCUCUCCGAACUGUGAAAUGUGAACUGAUUCAACUGAAGUUACUGAACUGAACUGCGAACUUCGUUGAAUAAUUGUGAAUAAUUAUUGUUAGUUAAGCUGUGAAGUAUGAACUACUGAAUUUUGUUGUUUGUUGAAUAAUUGUGAAUAAUUUUGCUAAAUUGGAUUUUGUACUUGUUAGUUUGUUAAAUUGUUGUGAUUCUUGAAAUUGAGAUUAUUGGGUUGCUUUGUUCUUAUCAAAUUGUUAAUUUGUUAAUUUGCUAAAUUAAUGGUGUUAUUGUGAUUCCUGAGAUUGAGAUUGUCUUUAUUUUUUGGUAUUGGGUUGCUGGAUUUUCUAUUCGGAUUUUGUACUUGUGAUUCUUCAACCCUAGGUAUGAAUUUUGUUUUUUCAUUAAUUGAUUAGGGUAGGGUUGUGUUGUGUCGUUCCAAGAUGAAUAUGAUUGUUUUGCUUUGCGAUGCUUGCUGGUUGUUAUUUGAUCUCACCGCAUUUCAGCAUUUGAUCAAUGAAAUGUUUUGCAAACAUUCAGUUUUUGGUUUGCAUUUCCAUAUAUUGACUUGGAUUUAUACCUUACUAAAA
Molecule: non-coding RNA, 904 nt
Organism: Arachis ipaensis
Lineage: Eukaryota; Viridiplantae; Streptophyta; Magnoliopsida; Fabales; Fabaceae
Source: RefSeq, a predicted model, not a curated record